This 2111-nucleotide ribosomal RNA is filed under the name Salmonella enterica subsp. enterica serovar Hvittingfoss. RNAcentral's name for it is "partial 23S ribosomal RNA". It matches the Rfam family "Bacterial large subunit ribosomal RNA", at positions 711 to 2802 of the family's 2925-position model. The record is from RNAcentral. Lineage: Bacteria; Pseudomonadati; Pseudomonadota; Gammaproteobacteria; Enterobacterales; Enterobacteriaceae.
AGACCCGAAACCCGGUGAUCUAGCCAUGGGCAGGUUGAAGGUUGGGUAACACUAACUGGAGGACCGAACCGACUAAUGUUGAAAAAUUAGCGGAUGACCUGUGGCUGGGGGUGAAAGGCCAAUCAAACCGGGAGAUAGCUGGUUCUCCCCGAAAGCUAUUUAGGUAGCGCCUCGUGAAUUCAUCUCCGGGGGUAGAGCACUGUUUCGGCUAGGGGGCCAUCCCGGCUUACCAACCCGAUGCAAACUGCGAAUACCGGAGAAUGUUAUCACGGGAGACACACGGCGGGUGCUAACGUCCGUCGUGAAGAGGGAAACAACCCAGACCGCCAGCUAAGGUCCCAAAGUCAUGGUUAAGUGGGAAACGAUGUGGGAAGGCCCAGACAGCCAGGAUGUUGGCUUAGAAGCAGCCAUCAUUUAAAGAAAGCGUAAUAGCUCACUGGUCGAGUCGGCCUGCGCGGAAGAUGUAACGGGGCUAAACCAUGCACCGAAGCUGCGGCAGCGACGCUUAUGCGUUGUUGGGUAGGGGAGCGUUCUGUAAGCCUGUGAAGGUGGCCUGUGAGGGUUGCUGGAGGUAUCAGAAGUGCGAAUGCUGACAUAAGUAACGAUAAAGCGGGUGAAAAGCCCGCUCGCCGGAAGACCAAGGGUUCCUGUCCAACGUUAAUCGGGGCAGGGUGAGUCGACCCCUAAGGCGAGGCCGAAAGGCGUAGUCGAUGGGAAACAGGUUAAUAUUCCUGUACUUGGUGUUACUGCGAAGGGGGGACGGAGAAGGCUAUGUUGGCCGGGCGACGGUUGUCCCGGUUUAAGCGUGUAGGUGUGUGUUCCAGGUAAAUCCGGUUCACUUUAACACUGAGGCGUGAUGACGAGGCACUACGGUGCUGAAGCAACAAAUGCCCUGCUUCCAGGAAAAGCCUCUAAGCAUCAGGUAACAUCAAAUCGUACCCCAAACCGACACAGGUGGUCAGGUAGAGAAUACCAAGGCGCUUGAGAGAACUCGGGUGAAGGAACUAGGCAAAAUGGUGCCGUAACUUCGGGAGAAGGCACGCUGACACGUAGGUGAAGUGAUUUACUCACGGAGCUGAAGUCAGUCGAAGAUACCAGCUGGCUGCAACUGUUUAUUAAAAACACAGCACUGUGCAAACACGAAAGUGGACGUAUACGGUGUGACGCCUGCCCGGUGCCGGAAGGUUAAUUGAUGGGGUCAGCGCAAGCGAAGCUCCUGAUCGAAGCCCCGGUAAACGGCGGCCGUAACUAUAACGGUCCUAAGGUAGCGAAAUUCCUUGUCGGGUAAGUUCCGACCUGCACGAAUGGCGUAAUGAUGGCCAGGCUGUCUCCACCCGAGACUCAGUGAAAUUGAACUCGCUGUGAAGAUGCAGUGUACCCGCGGCAAGACGGAAAGACCCCGUGAACCUUUACUAUAGCUUGACACUGAACAUUGAGCCUUGAUGUGUAGGAUAGGUGGGAGGCUUUGAAGUGUGGACGCCAGUCUGCAUGGAGCCGACCUUGAAAUACCACCCUUUAAUGUUUGAUGUUCUAACGUGGACCCGUAAUCCGGGUUGCGGACAGUGUCUGGUGGGUAGUUUGACUGGGGCGGUCUCCUCCUAAAGAGUAACGGAGGAGCACGAAGGUUGGCUAAUCCUGGUCGGACAUCAGGAGGUUAGUGCAAUGGCAUAAGCCAGCUUGACUGCGAGCGUGACGGCGCGAGCAGGUGCGAAAGCAGGUCAUAGUGAUCCGGUGGUUCUGAAUGGAAGGGCCAUCGCUCAACGGAUAAAAGGUACUCCGGGGAUAACAGGCUGAUACCGCCCAAGAGUUCAUAUCGACGGCGGUGUUUGGCACCUCGAUGUCGGCUCAUCACAUCCUGGGGCUGAAGUAGGUCCCAAGGGUAUGGCUGUUCGCCAUUUAAAGUGGUACGCGAGCUGGGUUUAGAACGUCGUGAGACAGUUCGGUCCCUAUCUGCCGUGGGCGCUGGAGAACUGAGGGGGGCUGCUCCUAGUACGAGAGGACCGGAGUGGACGCAUCACUGGUGUUCGGGUUGUCAUGCCAAUGGCACUGCCCGGUAGCUAAAUGCGGAAGAGAUAAGUGCUGAAAGCAUCUAAGCACGAAACUUGCCCCGA